UUUAUCCACCUUUUCUACCCCUAAUAGCCUUAGUUGUUUUGCUUCUGCCUUACUGUGAUCAAUAUUUUAAGUUACAUUAAUUAAAAAAAAUUGAACCUUUUAACAUAAUGGGUACAUAAAUGCAUAUAAAUUAUACUUACAAAUAGUAUAUCCAUGCUUUUUUUUUUCAUUGCUUGCUUUUCCUGCCAUAAUGAUUUUUCUUUCGAUUUUUUCCUCUUACCAUCAACAGAUUCCAUGUGUUCUUGUAAAAUCUACAAGAAAGUAGUUAAUAAACAACAAUUACUGCCUCUCGUACACGUGUUGGUGCGACGGUGCCUAUCGCACCAAAACACACCUCACACGUGCAAUGGGCAUUAACCGAAAUGCAUUUUGCAUCAAACGAAUGCAUACGCCAAACUAUCACACAAAGCUACCACACUCGAAUGGCCAAGUCUAAUUUUUUUCAUCAUCGAAUUAUUAUAAAAAAAUUUGAAAACACGGCUACAGCAUUUUGUCAACAAAAAAAAAAUUAACCUAUUAUCUUAAAAGAUGACAAAUAGUUCUAUAGUUCUUUGUGGAAUUUUGUCAAAUAUUAUGUAAGCAUUAUAUUUCUACACUAUCAUUAACAAAUCGUUUUCCCCAAAUAUAACAAAUUACAAAUCUAAAUCACUUUAACAAAUACAAGGCAAAGUUUAAAGUUCAGUAACCUUGAUAAGAAGAGUGAAAGUCGGAGCCGGGAGCUAGAGUGAAAGUGAGAGCAAGUUCGGGCGUGAGUGUGAGUUGGAAGAAAAGCCAAGACCAACAGCAACAACAACGGCGAGAAUGGGAGCCUGACUAUGAGCAAGAGCGGGAUCGGGAGUGUGAGCCGAAGUGGGAGAGUGACCAAGAACAAGACCGUGACAGUGUGAGGAAUGACAAAGAUCUGCUCAAUGUUCGGGGGGAGAAAGGAGAAAGAGAAGGAGAAAGGGAGGGAGAAAGAGAGGAAGGGAGGGGAAAAU
RNAcentral lists this long non-coding RNA (977 nucleotides) under Citrus maxima (pomelo). RNAcentral describes it as "long non-coding RNA (CMAX_LNC003476)". The record is from RNAcentral. Lineage: Eukaryota; Viridiplantae; Streptophyta; Magnoliopsida; Sapindales; Rutaceae.